Diabrotica virgifera virgifera (western corn rootworm) is the source of this 615-nucleotide long non-coding RNA. RefSeq lists it as uncharacterized. The record is from RefSeq and is a predicted model, not a curated record. The transcript has 3 exons. NCBI's taxonomy places the organism in Eukaryota, Metazoa, Arthropoda, Insecta, Coleoptera, Chrysomelidae.
CAACGACCUCGCUUCGGCCAUCUUGGCGACCUUGCCUUGCCGUGGAUUGUUUUUAGUUGUAUGUAUUAUUUGUGCUUUUUAAGAAUAUUUUUUUAAUUCGGAUACUUUUAUAAUAGCUUUAAUAGUAUUAUUAACAUAGUGCAUAAAAUGGUGUACUGUUUUUAACGCAGUUGGAGUAGCAGAAACAAAUGUAGAUAAAAAAAUCUGCAGGAAUAACGUUUCAAUUAUGACAGAAGCUCAAAACAAAUGACUGUGAAUGAAAAGCCCUAUUAAAAGCUUUCCAGAAGAUCCUGCGAAGAAGACAUGAAGUAUAGAUCAGAUUUGUUAAUAGAGGAGUAUGUUCAAAACACUUUUUAGAAAAAGAUAUUGACAGAACUUCACUUUCAUCUGUUCGUUUGAGAGACUGUGCUGGUCCAAUAGCUUAUGUCACACAGAAUCAGCUGAGAGAAGUGGUCUACAAAAAACCAGAAAGGAAACGGAAUAUGUGGCUACGAAAAGCAAAAGAAAGGUUUACAAAGCAAAUGUGACACAUUUUUUUAUAAUAUUUAGGAAUGUCAGCAAAUUACAUUAAAAAAUGUAUGUAAAGAUUUUUUGCAAUAAAAAUGUUUAUAUUUA